This is a long non-coding RNA of Siniperca chuatsi (mandarin fish), 4578 nucleotides long. RefSeq lists it as uncharacterized. The record is from RefSeq and is a predicted model, not a curated record. NCBI's taxonomy places the organism in Eukaryota, Metazoa, Chordata, Actinopteri, Centrarchiformes, Sinipercidae. The transcript has 2 exons.
CUUAAAGACACUCCAUUUGGAUCCACCGCUGACCGCCCGUCCACCAAACACAGAACAGAGGGUGUCAAACUGGGUGCCAGGGAGCCACUUGGGGGCCAACUUCAAGGACUUCCUCGGAGUAACCCCGGCAGUUUCCCGGGGAUGUCUCUGUGCACAGCGAAAACUCUGUUCUGCAUGGGACACAAGUGAAAAUCAGCAUAAUUGCACUAAUUGCAGCCAAUUUCUCACUGAAUGGACCCCGCUGUCACAUCUCACAACAAGCGGGGGGACAAGAACAUCUCAUGGUCCCCCAGAUGGAGAUGAAAGGCAGUAAAGAAAAAAAACACCCAGUGAUCGUUCUUCAUUCAGCCAGAUGGAAGGGCUUGUAAUUUAAAGAAAAAAAGGAGAGGAGACGAAACACAGCAGAAAUUGAUUUGAGUAUCCAAAUCAAGUACCCAGGUCACGAGGCCACCUUGUGCACCAGGGCCCCUAAUUUCCAUUCAGGUCUAAAAUGUCGCGAUAUCCUGCGUGACAGCCUCACAGCUCCCCGAGUUUCUCCAGGGAGUGAACCGAGUGAACCCCAACAAAACGUCUUUGUCAACAUCUGAGUGCGGAGCGGUCAUGAGUGUCAACAAACACUCUGAGGGGCAUUCCUGUGUCUCUUCAAUGAAAUAAUAGGGUGCAUCAUGUGUUUAGGCCAAACACAACUCCACACAACCUCUGUGAUACAACACAAUGGUAGGCCCCAAUAGGAAACUGCGGCCAACUACCUUUAUUCACCAAGGACACAGCUAAUUUGUCCAUUCAGUAUGAAGUCCAACAUUUGUAGGAGGGAACCUCCCACAUGAUUUUCUUGUCUCAUCAAACAUGUGUGCCCUUCUUGCAUUCAAAUGCAUCUUGCAAUUACCCAUCUACCACUGCUUCUCCACACCUCUCUCAUGUCUCCAUAUUUAUCCAUCAUGGCCUUUCCUUCCUGUUCUAUCAUUUGCUCUGCUUUCCUUUCCAGAUGUUCUCCUUUUUGUCUGCAUCUUCUUUGUCCAAUGAAUCUGGAUCCAUUUUUGUCUUUAGAGCUUUCUUCUGGUUGACUUGAAUGUUUUUUUUUUUUAUCCAUUUGACCUAUGCUACAUCUUGUCUUUACUCCUCUUUCUUUCCUUCAUGUACCUUUCUGUUCCUUCAGUUAUUUCCCAGGGCCCAUCACUCUCUCUGCCCCCACACACUUAUUUGUAUCUCUCACUGGGUGGGCUUCCUAGGAGUUAAGGCUGACCUUUCAACUUCACUUUGACCUUUGACCUUGUUGCUGUAGGCUCCUGCACUUAGGCCACACUAGCACCUGCCACUCACCGACUUUCCAUCCUCUCUGCUCUGCAUCCCAACCUCCUAUCACCACCCUCCCCUUCUUCUCUUCACCCUCCCCUUUGUCAGCGGUAUACCAGGGUUAUAUAGGGUAUUCUGGGGGCACUCACACUCUCUAUAGUCAGUGCAGAGAGAUGGAAGACAUGGGAGACAGAGUGCUAUAGCCAAGUAAAACUUUGGUCUCCUGGAGGAACUCUAAUUACCAUGGUACUCAUUCGGUAUGGCACUUAAAACACAGAGUUCAAAACAGCUAAAAUAAUGUGAGAACAGUGUGUCAGGUUUGAUUAUCUCAGCUUUAGAUAUUCUUACAGGUCAACACAUACUUGUUUGACUGGUCUGCAUGACUUAUUUUAAUUUAUGUAUUAAUUGCCUGUGUUUACUAGAUUUAUUCAAUCUUAUUGUGUCUCAAAUAUGACUCACAACUGUGCAUUUCAUCAGUGCCCAGGUCAAUGUUAUGCAGUAUAAAUAUGGAAGGAUAUUGUCUAAAUAAGAGGAUUUAUUUUCUAUGGUCUGUUGAGCUGUGAACUACCUGGUCUGUCCUCUUGUGUCAAAAAAGUACUCCUGUGUAUGGUAUGGACCCAGUAAUUGACUUCAAUUGACAUAGCUAUAUUUUGCCAUCUGGUGGUGAUUGAUAAUAUUACACACAAGUUAAAUUCUGUCAAUAUUUUCACAUUAAUGUCCAUUUACACUUUUACAGGUGGAGAAGAAUUACUCUCUAUCUGUUCCCAAACACAUUAUCUGUGCUGAAACUGUAAGCUCUGAGUUACAUUAUUUCCCUCACUACACAAUGAUCGGAGAAACUAUUGCAUUUUAAAGCAAAGUAACUAAAACGUUGCUCAACUCCUCAACUAAUUAAUUAUAGGCAUUUUCAUUGCACAGCACUCACAGAGCCAUCCUUCUGCCUUCACGGAAACAUCCUUGAGAUAAAUAAAAUAAUAACACAUGUAAUACACCUUGGUAUCAUUAGGAAUGCAUGUGAUGUUCUCAAAUAAGGGUGUAAAAAAUGAUUUCAGUUACUUUGAAUUGGGAGCCAUGAUCCAAGCAGAUUUUUGUUCCACUUGUCAACAGAUUCUAUGGUAUUUAUUGGUGGCCCUUUUAAUAAUAGAACUAAUAAACUAAUUAAAUUACAUCAAUAAAUAGUAUUACAAUAACCAAAAAAACAACUAUUCAACAACUAAAUUCAAAGGAACUGUUCAGUUUGCCCAGCCUCAAGUUUAACCAACAGUCAGAAAUAGAAAUGAUCAUGGGUAAACUGGUGAACAUCAGUCCUCACAUGAGUAGGGUCUGAUUAUAAAGCUACAUUCUUAAAUAUAAAUUAUCAUAUUGCCACAAUGUAUUGUCAGUCUUGGGAUUGUCUGGAUGACUGAGGUGCAGACAAACUUACAUACCAUUGUCUUUCCACAUCUAUUCACCCUCAUUCUGCAUGACUGCAUACUUGUCCCUUCUUAAUGAAUAUGAUUGUGCUGAAUUACUGUAGGAUUUCAGCACAAUCACAUUCUUUGUUUCUUCUUUUCACAUUUAAACAAAAAGUUUGUGCUGUGCUGAGUCAUGAGCUAAGGAACAAAUUAGUUCAUAAUAAGUUAUUUAAAAAAAAGAUUUAAUCUUCUUUCCUUUGAUUUUGUAUUAAGUUUUUUAUUAAUAGCAUCAUAUAAUAUGCAUUUCAUGGGAAAAGUAGGUGCCUUAUGAUGGAUUCACUGUAAUCAGAGAGCCACCUGUGUCUCACUCAAGCUGAGCCACCAUAUGGCCAACUGGCUUAAAAGACAGAACACAAUUAUGGCAACCAUAUCACAGAAAAUGUUAAUUUCAGUUUCAAGGAACUAUUCUUUUUUUUUCUUUUGAAAAAUAGGUUAUUUUAUUUAUUUCAAACAACUUUGCAAAUUUACAGCAGAAAUAAAACAGUUUUUCCAUGGAUUCUCAGGGCAAAGCAACAAAAAUACUUCAGUUAAUUAAUUUAAUUAAAUCAAAUUGCUGAAUUACGAUCCUAUUUGCUUGCAUUGAUCACCAUAUCCUACAAACCACAGUCAACAGGUCAAAACAACCCCACAACUAUCAGAUUUCCUUAUGAACAAAGCUGCACCUACUAUAGAAUAGAAAAUAGAUAUAUAGAUCACAGCCUUUACCACAAUAAAUAAAAGCAAACACAAGGAAGGGCCCAUCCUCUGCCACUUAUCAACCUUAAGUAUGUGCUGGUGAUUGGUAAUUUAUCACAGAAGGUACACAAUGCAAUGUUUUGCCAGCAGCAACAGAAAAAUUAGUUGCAGAUUUGGUUUGAGUGACCUUUACAUUUUUACUUUGUCAUUAGAAAUUAUAAAGUGAAAACCUUUAGGUGUUUAGUCAUAUCUGAUUCUGCUUUAUGAGUUUCAUGAUCUUAAUUUGAGUAACAAAUGACAUACAGUAUGUAUACCAAAAUAAUUUUGGUAUACAUAAGAUGAUGAAAUGAAAAGUUUUCAGCCUGUGGUGAUAGCUUCCAUAUAACCAUAUACAUGCAAUACAGUCAUCUGGAUAAAAUAUUAUUUACAUCUUUCUUCACGUUAACAGGGUCUUUUGUUUCAAACUGUUCUAUUUGAACAAGUAAAUGUGAAAUCAUUGGGCAUGGGCCUUCUUAUGCUGUAAGUUUCUGUAUGAUUUGCCAUUUCUGGUACUGCAUUAUUAAAUCAGAAAACUUACAUCUGAACUUCCAACAGUCUAGAAAAACCUGUGUGAAAAAGUGGCACAUGCACACACAAAUACAAAAAGACGCACACAGACAAGUCAGAGUUCCAACUGCUCAGAACUUUUAUUUCAAGGGAAAUCAAGGUUAAAAUUAAAUUAAAAUAUAAAAUUUAGAUGGGCAAGUCUGUCUUUAAAGGGAAGGUGUUGACACAAGGAGUAGGCAGCCCUCCAGAGGGAAAGAGGCGGUAGGGGAAAGACAGGAAGCUACAAAAUGAAGUUUAGGGGAUGAACCUGGUCAUUCAGGAAGUUAUGUAUAAAAAAAAAAAGACAAGACAGAUGCAGUUAGUUAUAAUAAACCCCACCCCCAUCUGAAAUGUCCUCAAAUGCAAUCAGUGCUAUAGCUCUCCUUUUCCUUUUUCUGGUUUCUUACAGGAAGUUUUAGAUCAUUUAUCUUCUUCACUCACUCUCACUACCAUCAUCAUCAUAUUCUGUCUUAAUGUAAUCUUUUCCUGCAGUUUUGAAAAAAGUUAACAAAAAGUCCUUCAAAAAUAAAAUGCAGCAACCACAUUUCAUGUUCUUAUAUAUAUAUAUAUA